UGGGGAAUAUUGGACAAUGGGGGCAACCCUGAUCCAGCCAUGCCGCGUGAAUGAUGAAGGCCUUCGGGUUGUAAAGUUCUUUUGGUGGGGACGAUGAUGACGGUACCCACAGAAUAAGCUCCGGCUAACUUCGUGCCAGCAGCCGCGGUAAUACGAAGGGAGCUAGCGUUGUUCGGAAUUACUGGGCGUAAAGGGCGCGUAGGCGGUUUGGUAAGUUGGAUGUGAAAGCCCAGGGCUCAACCCUGGAACUGCAUUCAAAACUGCUUGACUUGAAUUCGGUAGAGGUUGGUGGAAUUCCCAGUGUAGAGGUGAAAUUCGUAGAUAUUGGGAAGAAUAUCCGUGGCGAAGGCGGCCAACUGGACCGACAUUGACGCUGAGGCGCGAAAGCGUGGGGAUCAAACA
Molecule: ribosomal RNA, 402 nt
Filed under: uncultured prokaryote
Description: bacterial SSU rRNA
Rfam family: Bacterial small subunit ribosomal RNA
Source: RNAcentral